GCCGUGUGUUUUCGCCGAUCAUAACUGGUUUAACUCUUGGCUCCUUUGAGAUCAAUAUGACUUCUGCCAAAUCAAAUGUGCCGGCAAAUUGCAAAAUCUCUGCAUCUGAUGAUGGCCAUGUGUUUUCGCCGAUCAUAACUGAUUCAAGCUCCUUUGAGAUCAAUAUGACUUCUGCCAAAUCAAAUGUGCCGGCAAAUUAUCAUCAAAGGUUUCUGAAAGCAAACACCAGUCAGUUGGUUAAAAAAAGUGAAG
Long non-coding RNA from Rhinichthys klamathensis goyatoka, 252 nucleotides. RefSeq lists it as uncharacterized. The transcript has 3 exons. The record is from RefSeq and is a predicted model, not a curated record. Lineage: Eukaryota; Metazoa; Chordata; Actinopteri; Cypriniformes; Leuciscidae.